CUUCAACGACCCCAACCACAGCGGACGCUCCUCCGCCCGACCCUGGCCAUACGUCGCCAACAACGCCUGCGCCUC
Molecule: non-coding RNA, 75 nt
Organism: Streptomyces lydicus
Lineage: Bacteria; Bacillati; Actinomycetota; Actinomycetes; Kitasatosporales; Streptomycetaceae
Rfam family: ASpks TB sRNA
Source: Rfam